GAUGAACGCUGGCGGCGUGCUUAACACAUGCAAGUCGAGCGAAGCACUUACCAUUGACUCUUCGGAAGAUUUGGUAAAUGACUGAGCGGCGGACGGGUGAGUAACGCGUGGGUAACCUGCCUCAUACAGGGGAAUAACAGUUAGAAAUGGCUGCUAAUGCCGCAUAAGCGCACAGUACCGCAUGGUACGGUGUGAAAAACUGAGGUGGUAUGAGAUGGACCCGCGUCUGAUUAGGUAGUUGGUGGGGUAACGGCCUACCAAGCCGACGAUCAGUAGCCGGCCUGAGAGGGUGAACGGCCACAUUGGGACUGAGACACGGCCCAGACUCCUACGGGAGGCAGCAGUGGGGAAUAUUGCACAAUGGGGGAAACCCUGAUGCAGCGACGCCGCGUGAAGGAAGAAGUAUCUCG
RNAcentral lists this ribosomal RNA (410 nucleotides) under uncultured bacterium. Its description in RNAcentral is "bacterial SSU rRNA". It matches the Rfam family "Bacterial small subunit ribosomal RNA", at positions 28 to 420 of the family's 1533-position model. The record is from RNAcentral.